RNAcentral lists this ribosomal RNA (254 nucleotides) under uncultured bacterium. RNAcentral's name for it is "partial 16S ribosomal RNA". It matches the Rfam family "Bacterial small subunit ribosomal RNA", at positions 524 to 776 of the family's 1533-position model. The record is from RNAcentral.
CACGUAGGGUGCGAGCGUUGUCCGGAAUUAUUGGGCGUAAAGAGCUCGUAGGCGGUGUGUCGCGUCGGCCGUGAAAACCUGCAGCUUAACUGUGGGCUUGCGGUCGAUACGGGCAUCACUGGAGUUCGGCAGGGGAGACUGGAAUUCCUGGUGUAGCGGUGAAAUGCGCAGAUAUCUGGAGGAACACCGGUGGCGAAGGCGGCAUCCUGGACCGAGACUGACACUGAGGAGCGAAAGCCAGGGGAGCAAACGGG